This is a long non-coding RNA of Bubalus bubalis (water buffalo), 2357 nucleotides long. RefSeq lists it as uncharacterized. The record is from RefSeq and is a predicted model, not a curated record. The transcript is spliced from 3 exons. Lineage: Eukaryota; Metazoa; Chordata; Mammalia; Artiodactyla; Bovidae.
UGGGUUGCCCUCCUCCAGGGAAUCUUCCUGACCCAGGGAUUGAACUCAUGUCUCUUAUGCCUCCUGCAUUGGCAAGUGGGUUCUUUACCACUAGCACCACCACUAAAAGGGCAGAGGUCACUUAAUUGCUGUAUGGGGGGAAUGGGAGGAUGUGGAGAAGGGGACAGUGCUGACCUCUACCCCCACAUGUUUACUGUCUCAGUGGUCAGUCAGGGCUCUUCCUCAUGGAAUAGAUGCCCUGUUGUUGACUGGGGACCAUCCCCUGAAAUUUAACAAGCCUGUGGCAAAAAACUCUCUCCACCCUAUUUCUUCCUUAUCUCAGCAAAUGGAGGCCUUUUCACUCCAGCAAAACUGGUUUCAUUGCUUACUUCCUCCAAAUUGGUGAGUCCUCUUGUAAAUGUAUUCUUACAUCCUAUGAAGCCACCGUAUAUCUGACUACUGAUUGGUUGUCUUCUAAAUGAGGAAUGCCUUCUUAUGGUUUAUGUGCAAAUACAAUACUGCAGGUACUUAAACAUCAAUAACUGUACAAACAGCAUAGUAAUUGGAAUGGUUGUGGUUAAAAUGAAACUCUCCUAGAAUCCAAUUUAUAAAUCUAGGAAAGGGCUGUUAUUUGUGACUAGGAACUCUGUGUUCAUAGUUUAUAGAAAAUACAGAAAGAUUUUCAAGACCACAUGGCAAAUGCGAGACAGACCUGGAAUUUGAAUCUCAGUCUGUUCCCACAGUGUCUUAGGGUUACUCUGAAAAGCUGCUCUUAGUUCAGUACUGUCGUAUUUCUUUUCAGGAGUAAAAGAAAAAAGAGAAAUGUAUUAGUCCAAGUUCUCUUAUUUUUCCAAGUAGCAAAACAGCAAUUUAUUGGCUUAUGUACUUAGAAGUCUGGGAAGGAGAUCAGGCAUGGCUGGAUCCAGAGGCUCAUUUUUUUUCCUCUCCUGUUUCUGCUCUGCGUUUCUUUGUGUUGGUUUCUUCCUCAGGUACACCACCUCAUAGGCUGACGAAGUGGGGCAGGGGCAGGCUUACUUGGUCUGUAGCGCCCACACACCCUCUGUUAAAAUGGCAAAAAUCUUGGAUUUGAGGAUCCAAGCUGAGUUUGUGAUUUUUAUUGAACCAAUCACCAUGCCCACUCUUGGGGGAGAGGAUUGGGUCAGCCCUAUAGGAACCACUUGAGCUGAGAAUGGGGGUGGAGGUGUUGAUUCUCCAAUGAGACAUAUUCUGGGGUUAAAAACCUCUUUUUACUACAAGAAAAAAAAGGUGGACACAUCCUAUCUUCUCCAUUGUCAACAUUCAUCUACUUGUUCACUCAUUCUCUGGCCGACUGCUGGGUCUUCAGGUGAGUAAGACGCAUUUGCCCCUGGGGGAGCCUAAUGGAUCCUGCGCUCUCAGGAAGGGUGCUUCUGUGCACUCGCGAAGCAUCCUCCGAACUAGAAAGGGGAAAUGCAUCUCCUCCAGGAUGCCCUUUGACACGAAGGAUUUCUGCCAGGACCUGCCAACUAGAGUCCUUUCAGCUUCCCAGUACCUCUCAGUGGGCGCUAAGACAAAGCCAGUGAAGCGCCGGCCCCUGGAGAGGGAGCAGGGAAGGGGAGAGAGCACCUGGGGAGGUCCUAGAGCCCGGUUGUGGGCGCCGCCCACCGGAGACCUGGAGCGCCUGGAGCGCCUGCACGCGGCCUAGAAACGCGAGGUUUGAAGUAACUGCAAGCAGCUUGCGUUCACCACCUGCUUCUGAUUAGCUGGCGGCCAGGUGAGCGCUGGGUCGAGGAGCCAAAACUCCGCGUCGCUGGGAGUGUCUGCUCGUCUGUCCAACCACUUUGCCCACCGCCCCGCCCUGCACAGGUGCCGCGGGGACGGCGGGGACGGCGCCGCGCUCCUUUUCCUUAACUGUUCCUGCGAGGUGACUUCCCUUUUCACUUGUGACCAGUAGAUGGCUCUAUGGCUUUCCUGUAUCUGACACACAUUAGUUGAAUGCUGCUUACUGUAUUCCUGGAGAAGGAGAUGGCGCCCCACUCCAGUACUCUUGCCUGGAGAAUCCCAUGGAGGGAGGAGCCUGUUUGUUCACUCUCAGAGAAACCAGCUGCCAUGCUGUGAGCUGCCCAGCGCAGAGGCCUACAAAGCAAAUAAUGAGGGGAAGCUUCUAGUCAACAGUCAGUAAGGAACUAAGGCCCUCAGUCUGACAACCUUCAAGGAACCAAAUCCUGACAGCACCCAUGUGAGUGAGCCUGGAAGUGAUCCUCCUCCAGGUGAGCCUCAAGAUCACUGCAGCCUGUGAGACCCUGAGCCAGGGGACCCAGCUCAGCCUCUUCUGGAUUCCUGACUCACAGAAACUAUGAUAUAAUAAAAGUGUGUUUUUAUUUUUUUGAACCACUAAA